UGCAGCCGAGCGGUAGAGAUUCUUCGGAAUCUUGAGAGCGGCGUACGGGUGCGGAACACGUGUGCAACCUACCUUUAUCAGGGGGAUAGCCUUUCGAAAGGAAGAUUAAUACCCCAUAAUAUAUUUGAUGGCAUCAUUAGAUAUUGAAAACUCCGGUGGAUAGAGAUGGGCACGCGCAAGAUUAGAUAGUUGGUGAGGUAACGGCUCACCAAGUCCA
Molecule: ribosomal RNA, 217 nt
Filed under: uncultured Chryseobacterium sp.
Lineage: Bacteria; Pseudomonadati; Bacteroidota; Flavobacteriia; Flavobacteriales; Weeksellaceae
Description: partial 16S ribosomal RNA
Rfam family: Bacterial small subunit ribosomal RNA
Source: RNAcentral